RNAcentral lists this ribosomal RNA (727 nucleotides) under Cellulophaga sp. MAR_2009_61. RNAcentral's name for it is "bacterial SSU rRNA". It matches the Rfam family "Bacterial small subunit ribosomal RNA", at positions 18 to 742 of the family's 1533-position model. The record is from RNAcentral. Lineage: Bacteria; Pseudomonadati; Bacteroidota; Flavobacteriia; Flavobacteriales; Flavobacteriaceae.
CAUGGCUCAGGAUGAACGCUAGCGGCAGGCUUAACACAUGCAAGUCGAGGGGUAACAGAGGAGCUUGCUCUUGCUGACGACCGGCGCACGGGUGCGUAACGCGUAUACAAUCUGCCUUACACUAAGGGAUAGCCCAGAGAAAUUUGGAUUAACACCUUAUAGUUUAUUUUUAUGGCAUCAUUUAAAUAAUAAAGUUUACGGUGUAAGAUGAGUAUGCGUCCCAUUAGUUUGUUGGUAAGGUAACSGCUUACCAAGACUACGAUGGGUAGGGGCCCUGAGAGGGGGAUCCCCCACACUGGUACUGAGACACGGACCAGACUCCUACGGGAGGCAGCAGUGAGGAAUAUUGGACAAUGGAGGAGACUCUGAUCCAGCCAUGCCGCGUGCAGGAAGACGGUCCUAUGGAUUGUAAACUGCUUUUAUACAGGAAGAAUAAGGACUACGUGUAGUCUGGUGACGGUACUGUAAGAAUAAGGACCGGCUAACUCCGUGCCAGCAGCCGCGGUAAUACGGAGGGUCCGAGCGUUAUCCGGAAUUAUUGGGUUUAAAGGGUCCGUAGGCGGGCUGUUAAGUCAGGGGUGAAAGUUUGCAGCUCAACUGUAGAAUUGCCUUUGAUACUGAUGGUCUUGAAUUAUUGUGAAGUGGUUAGAAUAUGUAGUGUAGCGGUGAAAUGCAUAGAUAUUACAUAGAAUACCGAUUGCGAAGGCAGAUCACUAACAAUUGAUUG